CUCAAUUUCCUGCGCUGUGGUUCAUCCACGUCAUCCAAUUCAAUGACAGCCGUUGGAUCAAAACCUGGUGGUCUGGAUCAUGGUGAGCGAAGUCCAAAUCUCAAUGGUGUGAACUACAAGGCCCAUAUACGUGAGCCCAACAGGCAACAGCCCAUCCUUUCCCUAAGAGAGAAGCAUCCAUCGAUCUCAAUUUUCCUCCCACACCCUAGCCUGUUCGGUCUCUCGGUCUUCCCACGGAACGCGCCGACCGUCGUCGCCUGCGCUCCUCUCGCGCAGCGUCACUGCCCGGCAGGCGCCUCAGCUCCACCCUCUACCCCCAGCCGUUUCCAGCGGAAACGACGCCCGCGUGCCGUCCCCGUCCCUCCUCCUCCCCCGUGCAAGGGAAUCAGCCAGGAGCACCGCCUCGGUCUGUUUCAUCUCUUUGGUUGCCAUGAAGACAUUAACUUUAUGUUCCUGUAACGUAAAGGCAAAAUCAUCAUCGUGCAUAAAAUCUCUCAUGCUUCUGUUUACCUUGCAUCUUCCAUAGCCAUGAGUCGUGCAUCAUCUAUCUCCUUCCGGUUGCAUCUGCAAGCUAACCAGGUGUAAGAAUCAUCCCUAUAUAUGAAAGGUUGUGCUGUUCUAGAGCAUUCGAUAAAUUCAUCACCAGACAAUUAGAUGGAAGGAAUAAAUCGAAGCCGGUCUCUUGCUCUUCAGACUUACAUUUGAUGGAACUAUGGAAGGGCUUUAUUAUCUUACAUGAUCUUGAUCUUGCUGGUAUGUAAAUGUGUGUUUUCUCAAUGUUUAUAGCAACUACAAGGGCCAUCAGCAUUUGGUCUCAUGAAGCUCACUCAUGGAGCCAUGUAUGGAUUGACAUCUGUUUAUCCAAACAAUUCGAGUAAUUAUGGCUUUACCUAAGCAACGUGUUGUCUACCAAAUUAGUGAGGUGCAUUUUUAUUUCCUUCCUGCCAUGUGGUUUAGUUUAUGAACAAUAUAAUUAACUUCCUGUCAACUUAUGGGUGACCAUGUUUUUUUUUUUUUGCGAGCAAAACAUGAAACUUUAUUAAACUGUAGAAUUAGGGUUACAAUCGCGGGCCAGAAGUUCGAAGACACGCUCCAGGGCCUGUAAGUGCCAGACUACAGACUCCUUAGUACGCAACGCUAGAUGAGCGAG
Molecule: non-coding RNA, 1150 nt
Organism: Oryza sativa Japonica Group (Japanese rice)
Lineage: Eukaryota; Viridiplantae; Streptophyta; Magnoliopsida; Poales; Poaceae
Source: RefSeq, a predicted model, not a curated record